Molecule: long non-coding RNA, 1524 nt
Organism: Etheostoma spectabile (orangethroat darter)
Lineage: Eukaryota; Metazoa; Chordata; Actinopteri; Perciformes; Percidae
Exons: 3
Source: RefSeq, a predicted model, not a curated record
AACUAAAGGAAAUCUAUGACCCAAUCAGGAAAACCACGUGAGCUUUAGCUGACGUCAUCAGCUGCAACCUGUCAGCGUCUUUCUCCAGGGCGUCAACCAAUAGGAAGGAGUCCUUCGUCGGUAUGGCAGUAAACUGGUGGGUGGGGGGGAACUUGCAGACAUGUUGUCUUCAGGUAGCCGCCUCGCUAACCGCCCCCACGUGCUCCUGGCCCACCAUUCAAUGAGUGCAAUUAUUUUAUGUCAUGAUUCUUUUUGAAUAAUAAAAAUGGCCUGGGAGAGAGGUCGUCAGGUGGUCCCCAACCUUCUCCGGGUGUUUGUACCCUGAACCACAACACCCUCCAGUUGGCGGGUCAGCAGUGACAGGCCAGGUCCCCGCCCCUCUCUUCCAGGUUUCCAGCUUGUGUCCUCUCUCUUGUUCCAGAGCCAACAGGAGGCUCUCUGUGACGUUCUCCCAGACUACGAACAGCUGCUUAACUCAGGUGGCCUCUCAGUCCAACCUUUGUCAAUAGACUCCACCCAGAUUGAGCUGGGAACCAGAUAAGUCAGCAUGAUAAAUACCCCACGACCUGAUCAAAUUCCAAAUUUGUGACAGCUUCAUGACAGCUUUUCAACUUCUCUCCUCUGAAAUGUCAAUGAUACAACUUCUUUAGAGUAUCAGACCAGAUAGCUCAGUGUUAUGGAACGCUGGUUAGAGGACUCAUAGGUCAUGGGUUCAAUCACCCUCAUAGGCUGGUUCAAAGUCAACAUUUCACAGAAAAUUUAUUUCUUUCCUUAACACACCCCCCCCCCCCCCCAAAAAAAGUCUGUGUUAAAUGCGUGCUGUAACUGCUGGAGGUGGCGGCAGAGGUGGCGGCGGAGUCGAAUUGCAUCGGCCCUUCACCCAGGGAAGCGGGGUUCACAUCCGGUUGUAGACUACGUUGGUGUUGUAGAGUAUACUGUUGUUGAAGGUAGGCGGGGUGGUGCCAGCAACCCACAUGCCGCCCCGGUAAGACACUUGGCCAAACCACAUGCCGCCCCGAAGGGGCGGCAUGUGGUUUGGCAAGUGUCAUCCCCUAUGCCGCCCCGAAGGGGCGGCGUAGGGGUAUACCUACUUUACCUUUUGCUACCUGGAACAAUAAAUUUAUUCUCUAAGUGUCAUAAGUACAACUCAGGAUUUUUACCCAGAAGACAAGUGUCCAUGUCUCACAUAUGUUUCAGUACUAAAUGUUUUCCUAAUCCCAAAUGUACUCAGCUAUUACAGAUACUCAGACAGUUGGGCUUUGACACGCACUAAUCCCCAGGUGCAUGACACUAACUCCACCUCCCAGGUUAUAAACCCCCACCUUCCAGGUGCAGAUUACUAACCCCACCUCCCAGGACACUAACCCCAUGUUCAGCCUCAUCAUAAUGUCUACACCUUAUGAGUUUUGAACUCACAACCACUGGGUUCUCUAACCAGCGUUCCACCACACUGAGCUAUUGAUCUGAUAUCCUAAGCUGGUUGGAAGUUGUAUUUACUGUUCACAUUUCAGAGGAGAAAAGCUG